CCAGUUAUUGUGCGACCUUAUUUCUCCCGUAAAUUCAUUUUAAUUCUUUUUCUUACAUUUCUGUGUCUAAAGUAUAACUGACUCCCGUAUAUCAUUCAUACUAAAUGUUGCUUACACCUGAAAUGGUAAACCGUGACGCCUAGGUGUCACUGAAUGAAGAUCAAAAGAUUAGAAUUACAUAAUGCUAAUCUUUUAAUAACCUUGAGUUUAACUACGCAUUCAACAUUCACUAAGUGUCACAAAUUAAUACACAUUUAAUUUCCACAGUACAAGCAAGUGAAAAUGUUUACUGGAAUGAAGCAAAAAGUUCAGAAUACAAACAUGUAUUUUUUAAUACACUAUCGAUCCUGUCA
RNAcentral lists this long non-coding RNA (353 nucleotides) under Mytilus galloprovincialis (Mediterranean mussel). Lineage: Eukaryota; Metazoa; Mollusca; Bivalvia; Mytilida; Mytilidae. The record is from RNAcentral.